ACGAACGCUGGCGGCGUGCUUAACACAUGCAAGUCGAACGGAAAGGCCCCCUUGUGGGGUACUCGAGUGGCGAACGGGUGAGUAACACGUGAGUAACCUACCCUUGACUUUGGGAUAACUUCAGGAAACUGGGGCUAAUACCGGAUAGGAGCUCCUGCUGCAUGGUGGGGGUUGGAAAGUUUCGGCGGUUGGGGAUGGACUCGCGGCUUAUCAGCUUGUUGGUGGGGUAGUGGCUCACCAAGGCUUUGACGGGUAGCCGGCCUGAGAGGGUGACCGGCCACAUUGGGACUGAGAUACGGCCCAGACUCCUACGGGAGGCAGCAGUGGGGAAUAUUGCACAAUGGGCGGAAGCCUGAUGCAGCAACGCCGCGUGCGGGAUGACGGCCUUCGGGUUGUAAACCGCCUUCGCCUGUGACGAAGCGUGAGUGACGGUAAUGGGUAAAGGAGCACCGGCUAACUACGUG
RNAcentral lists this ribosomal RNA (464 nucleotides) under uncultured bacterium. RNAcentral's name for it is "partial 16S ribosomal RNA". It matches the Rfam family "Bacterial small subunit ribosomal RNA", at positions 29 to 507 of the family's 1533-position model. The record is from RNAcentral.